Haliotis rufescens (red abalone) is the source of this 3198-nucleotide long non-coding RNA. RefSeq lists it as uncharacterized. NCBI's taxonomy places the organism in Eukaryota, Metazoa, Mollusca, Gastropoda, Lepetellida, Haliotidae. The transcript has 6 exons. The record is from RefSeq and is a predicted model, not a curated record.
ACAUAUCUCGAACCACCCCACGAGUCUCUCUUAACCGUUCAAUUAACGUUCCGCUUGGUGUUGCCACACCUGUCCGCCAUCUGCUGUUGAGAUACUGUAACGGUUCUCGUCUGAAAAGAGGACUUCUCCCACUGCUGGUGCUGUGCUACCCACUGAAGACGGUCCAGGAAACAAAGAAGAAGACUGAAAGGAUACCACUGGGAGUGCUUCAGUGAGGACCUCAGUGACCGUUCUCCAUCACAGUAGGUGCUCAGCGGAGGGGACUACCUCACCCUUGAGAGGCAGAAACAAGCCAAUCAUGCACUUACGAGAUGGACCUACACCAAGUUCCAGAUUACAAGGACUUGUUCCAAAGAUGGAAGAGUUCCAUAACGAAGCUGAAUUUCUAAAGGUUAUAUGGAAACACUUGUACUCGUCCUCCUCUAACAAGUCUGUUUGGCACUCUGCAUGCUGCAAAGGAGCACAAUAAAUGCGGUGAAUGUUACUCAGGAUCCUCAUGACAACUUUUACCCAUGCUCUGAAUUCAUGGACAAGGUCACCACCGCCUACAUCGUAACUCGGGGACUACAUUACUUCCAAAUGGAACACCUCACUUCUGUCCCAACGUCAAGUUACAUGGGUGCUGUUGGCAAUCCAUAUAAAAUGAUUGAUUAUUUUCUAGGUCAUGCAGCAAAACAGUUUGUAGACAAGCACGUCUUACCGGAGGUUCCUCAACAGCCAGGUCAUGGUCUCCAAAUCAAACACACUAGCCUGCAGGUACUGUGGAAAACUGUACCAGAGACCAAAAGCUCUCCGCAAACACGAAGCAUCCGGAAUAUAAUGCUGAAAACAAUCAGGAUUCCACAUCUUCAGCAGAAUCAAGAUCAUCUAUUUAUCAGUACACCCGUCUGUCUCUCAUGCUUGGGCUUCUUCGAAUAAAUCACAACGAUUCCAUUCACAUGGGAGAUGGUGGCAGGCAUGAUGAGACUAGUAAAGUGGUUCUGUUUAUACUACAAGGCAAGCAAAUGUCCAAAGUAUGCAUAUGGUCUCCUUUGAAACACAGGCAAAGGCAUAUGCUCUCCUAUAUGAACGGCAGGCUUUAUAGAUUGAUAUGGAACCGCACAGUCAACCAUCAAGGCAGAGAAGACACCAAUCAUCCCAUCGACCUUGACUUGGAGCAUUGCAACAGGGCUUUCAAAGAUGAUGUACACACAUACAAGGGGAGGUACACAGAUAAAAGACGAUUCUCAAAGUCAGCAGAAGUGCGCUGUCAAUGGAAGAAUUAUGCCAAAAAUACGACAAAUUGGCAUUCCGCAAGAAAUGUUCGGGAAGGCAUGGAGUUGUUGAUCCUUCUUGGUGAUAUUCUUAAACUUGUAGAACAAUUCCAUUCCUAUGCAGCUCUAUUCAAUGAGGCCAACAAGCCACUGCCACAGAGAAAUCAAAAACAUGCUGAGUGACAUCCAAAAUUGGAUUUCAGAAAGUCUUAAAGUCUUCAGUAGCCGCACAUACUAUAACAUCUGAACCUUUUUUCCCGAUGUGUAAUUCAGUGUCACAUGAUUAAAACGAGACCCUGUUGCAAAGUCGCUAUCACUGUAUGUUUCAUGAUCUUCAUGUUCUGAGUCUGAGUGAGAUGAUGAGCUAUCACUCGAGUCAAGGGAAGUUUUGUACAACUCAAGAAUAUCACAUCUACAUUCACUACAUGGGGUAAUUGCAUGUCCAUGAGUCUCUGCAGUCACAGAGACACUUGCAAGAUAUGGCACAGUUGUCCAUAGCACUCAUGACUUCAGUAAAGCUCAACUCGUCGACAUACGUUGGUUCUGACAUACUGUUUCAUUUCAUCCGAAAUAUUCCGCCUGCCACUGAGACAUCGUCUAAAUUUCAUGAGAAGAGCAUGUGCCUGCUUUUCUGGAUCCCUGCCUGCUCCGUCCUUGUCUCUUGAAUAUAAUCCUCAACAUUAUUGGCUGGACCAUAGUGGAUGACGGUUUCCACACUUUCUUAGCAUUGUGUAUACACAACGUAAUUAACGGAUUCUGACAUCAGCCACAUAUCUCGGACCACCCCACGAGUCUCUCUUAACCGUUCAAUUAACGUUCCGCUUGGUGUUGCCACACCUGUCCGCCAUCUGCUGUUGAGAUACUGUAACGGUUCUCGUCUGAAAAGAGGACUUCUCCCACUGCUGGUGCUGUGCUACCCACUGAAGACGGUCCAGGAAACAAAGAAGAAGACUGAAAGGAUACCACUGGGAGUGCUUCAGUGAGGACCUCAGUGACCGUUCUCCAUCACAGUAGGUGCUCAGCGGAGGGGACUACCUCACCCUUGAGAGGCAGAAACAAGCCAAUCAUGCACUUACGAGAUGGACCUACACCAAGUUCCAGAUUACAAGGACUUGUUCCAAAGAUGGAAGAGUUCCAUAACGAAGCUGAAUUUCUAAAGGUUAUAUGGAAACACUUGUACUCGUCCUCCUCUAACAAGUCUGUUUGGCACUCUGCAUGCUGCAAAGGAGCACAAUAAAUGCGGUGAAUGUUACUCAGGAUCCUCAUGACAACUUUUACCCAUGCUCUGAAUUCAUGGACAAGGUCACCACCGCCUACAUCGUAACUCGGGGACUACAUUACUUCCAAAUGGAACACCUCACUUCUGUCCCAACGUCAAGUUACAUGGGUGCUGUUGGCAAUCCAUAUAAAAUGAUUGAUUAUUUUCUAGGUCAUGCAGCAAAACAGUUUGUAGACAAGCACGUCUUACCGGAGGUUCCUCAACAGCCAGGUCAUGGUCUCCAAAUCAAACACACUAGCCUGCAGGUACUGUGGAAAACUGUACCAGAGACCAAAAGCUCUCCGCAAACACGAAGCAUCCGGAAUAUAAUGCUGAAAACAAUCAGGAUUCCACAUCUUCAGCAGAAUCAAGAUCAUCUAUUUAUCAGUACACCCGUCUGUCUCUCAUGCUUGGGCUUCUUCGAAUAAAUCACAACGAUUCCAUUCACAUGGGAGAUGGUGGCAGGCAUGAUGAGACUAGUAAAGUGGUUCUGUUUAUACUACAAGGCAAGCAAAUGUCCAAAGUAUGCAUAUGGUCUCCUUUGAAACACAGGCAAAGGCAUAUGCUCUCCUAUAUGAACGGCAGGCUUUAUAGAUUGAUAUGGAACCGCACAGUCAACCAUCAAGGCAGAGAAGACACCAAUCAUCCCAUCGACCUUGACUUGGAGCAUUGCAACAGGGCUUUCAA